CCCAGCAGCUAUAUCACCCUGCAGCCCACUGAAGCCAAGCAGGUGUGAGCCUGGUCAGUACCUGGUUGGGAGACCUCCUGGGAAAACCUAAGGUUGCUGCUGGAA
Molecule: ribosomal RNA, 105 nt
Filed under: Lepisosteus oculatus (spotted gar)
Lineage: Eukaryota; Metazoa; Chordata; Actinopteri; Semionotiformes; Lepisosteidae
Source: RNAcentral